RNAcentral lists this ribosomal RNA (4243 nucleotides) under Triticum aestivum (bread wheat). RNAcentral's name for it is "partial small subunit ribosomal RNA". Lineage: Eukaryota; Viridiplantae; Streptophyta; Magnoliopsida; Poales; Poaceae. The record is from RNAcentral.
CCCAAGUCUGAAAAGAAGUGCACUCCCACUGCGCCGCCGUCCUCCACUGAAUCGAGUGGCUCCUCCUCCUUCCCCACUCCCCACUCUGCCGACUUAUCUCCGGGCUGCGCCACCUGGACCGGAGGCUACAUUGCCGAGCGAGCAGGGGAGCGGAGCGAGCGCCCGGCGGCUGGCGGCGACGUGCCGGAGAGGAGCACGGAGGCCGCGCGCCGGCGACGUCAUCGUCCUUCGACUUCCGCAGGAGAGCCCCUAUCUGAAGCACCUAUCUGACCGGUUGACAAGCCCCGAUCCGUAACCCACAAGCCCCUAGCUGACGUCCCAACCCAUAAUCCAGUGGUAAGCCCCUAGAUUUAUUUUUAAUUUCUUUUUGCGGGGCUAGAUUCUUUAUUCAGCUUGAAGAGAAAAACAUUGAAUUUUGCUCACGCUAAACAACAUGUUGAAUUGAGAAUUUUGGAGUGCCUGUCCUAAGUGGACUAUCAAAAUGAAGACAUACCAAGCGUGUUUUGACUUGGAGUAGACUUCAUAAACUUCCAGCUUAAUCCUCUCUUGACUUGGAAUAGACUUUCUGAACUUCCAGCUUAACCCUGUUCUUGACUUGGAGUAGACUUUCUGAACUUCCAGCUUAACCCUGUUUUUGACUUCGAGUAGACUUCCUGAACUCCAGCUUGCAAUCCCUGAUAUCUGAAUGGCUACUUGUGACAUCUGAACUUUGAGAUUUAGAGCAGUUAGAUCUCUUAAUUAAUUUUUGAGCACACACUUCAUGCCUUCAAUUUUGCAGCGUGAUAUCUAGAACAUGAUCACUGUAUUUGCUUAAAUGGAAGGUGGUGUUCCCUUCCCUGUGUAUCAGACUAUCAGCUCCUGACGGCCCAGUGCCGCAAACAGAGGAGCAUAUUCUUCUAGCUCCACAGGUUGGCGUGCCAUCGCUUAUUGAUGAUCCAGAGUUUAUAACUUGGGGUGGUGGAGCUUCGAUAUAUGCUGGCGUUUUCCAGUUCUCUACAUUAUUUUUACUUUUUAGUUAUUAUUAUGUUCCUGUUCUAACAUAAGUUUUUUGUCUCCCUUUUUUUUAGAACUCUUCAGUUUCUACAAGUUCCCUGGCUAUGAGGUUCCUAUCAUUCGUGGAUCUGCCUUGUCAUCCGUGUAUGGCCAUGGUUAUCCUCCCACUCCUCCUGCUCGUGCCUCUCACCGCUGCCCAAACGUGGCCAGCGUGCGGCGAGAGCGGCAACUACAAAUCAAAUAGCACCUAUGAAGCCAACCUCAAGCUCCUCUCUUCCAUCCUCCCAAAGAAAGCAGCAUCCAACACCACCCUCUUCGCCACCGACACCGUCGGCAAUGUUCCGAACACCAUCUUUGCCCUUGCUCUCUGCCGCGGGGACUCCAAUGCCUCUGCCUGCGAAGGAUGCUUGGUGACCGCCUUCCAGGACGGGAAGGAACACUGCACGAGCAAUAAGGACGCCACCGUGUACUACAAUAGCAAUCCCUGCAUGCUCAGGUUCUCCAACCAGAAUUUUCUCGCCACCAACGUCAAUGACAAUAUAUUCGUCAUUGUGAGCCUCGAGAUGUUCAUAAACAUCUCGACAAGAGCUUUCAACUUCUUGUUGUUCACACUUCUGAACAACACAGCUCAAUCGGCUGCGAACAGCUCGAGGAGGUUCACCACCUCGCGCUUAGAUGUCAGCUCCCUCCCGACGCUCUACUGCCUUAUGCAGUGCACGCCCGACCUGAGUGCUGAUGACUGUGCGGCCUGUUUCCAGCCUUACUCCCAGUUAACACUCAAGUACAUGGACCGUAGGAAAGGUGGUCGACUUCUGGGGACACGGUGUAGCAUGAGGUACGAGAUAUACCCGUUCUUUCAAGCGGACCCCAUGCUGCAUAUUAUCAGCUUGGUAUCUGAACUUCCGCCGAUCAACAAUACCAUGCCGCCAGUUACAUUGUACCCACCCCCGCAGUCGCAACCGCUGUCACCGGUUGCGGCACCACCACCUCCGGAGGCGCAGGCGACCACCCAAGAACUUCAUGGACGCAACUCACGCCGGAGGGUGCUUUGGAUUAUUGCUGUGGCAGCUCCAUUACUGUCAAUAUUUUUGUGUGUUAUUUGUUUCGUUGUAUGGAUGAGAAGACGAAGAAAAGGAACUGAAAUCGUACAUGAUCAAGCUGCCACAAAUAGGCCGGAAGAAGACGCAUUGGUUUGGAGAUUGGAAGAAAAGAGUUCAGAGUUCAUUCUCUUUGACUUUUCUGAGAUAUUGCAUGCUACACACAACUUCUCGAAAGAAAACCUACUUGGGCAAGGUGGUUUUGGCCCUGUCUACAAGGGCCAAUUACCAGAUGGAAUAGAAAUUGCAGUUAAAAGGCUUGCCUCACAUUCAAGACAGGGUUUCACGGAAUUCAAAAACGAAGUUGAACUUAUUGCAAAACUACAACACAGUAAUCUGGUCAAGCUCAUGGGUUGCUGCAUUCAGGGAGAGGAAAAACUUUUGGUGUACGAAUAUUUGCCAAAUAAGAGCUUGGACUUCUUUAUCUUUGAUGUUAGCAGAACAACGUUGGUUGAUUGGAAUAAAAGAUGUGUGAUAAUCGAAGGGAUAGCCCAAGGUCUACUGUAUCUCCACAAGCACUCUCGGUUGCGCAUCAUACACAGAGACCUUAAGGCCAGCAACAUUCUCUUGGACCAGGACAUGAAUCCUAAAAUUUCUGAUUUUGGGUUAGCUAAAAUUUUCAGCUCCAAUGAUACCCAAGGAAGCACAAAGAGGGUGGUGGGAACAUAUGGUUAUAUGGCUCCGGAGUACGCAUCUGAAGGCAUUUACUCGAUCAAAUCUGAUGUGUUCAGCUUUGGUGUCUUACUUCUCGAGAUCCUUAGCGGACAAAGGAAUUCUGGUUUCCAUCAGCAUGAAGACUUUCUUAACCUACUUGGAUACUCAUGGCAGCUCUGGGAAGGAGGAAGAUGUCUUGAGAUUCUAGAAGCAUCAAUUGCUAAGGAGAUCCAUGCAGCCGAGGCUAGGAGGUACAUUAACAUUGCACUAAUGUGCGUACAAGAGCAUGCAGAUGAUCGACCGACUAUGUCAAAUGUCGUUGCGAUGUUAAACAGCGAGGGUGUUAUUCUUCCAGAGCCUAAGCAUCCGGCAUACUUCAACCUAAGGGUAUCUAAGGAAGAUGAAUCGGGUAGUGUUCUGGACAGUCAUAAUGAUGUAACUAUCUGCAGUAAUAAUGACGUAACCAUCACUGAGGAGCCAGAUGGCAGAUAGUUGGUCACUUUGCUUCAGUCCUUCAGUUGUUAAUGGAAGUGCUAGCAAUCAGACAGCUGGCAGGCAUACCAAGUUAGCAUACCAGCCUGUCAUAUUUUGGUUCUGAUGAAGGAUUGCGACCGGCGUACCUCUGUAGAGCUUGCUGGUGUCCGUAGGCUAUAUUGAUAUGCAGGUUAAUUCUGUAUUUAGCUUUUGUGCACCUCACCAUUGUUUUCCACUGGUGGCUGCUGCUGUAGACUUUCAAAGAAGACUUGAAAUCCAAAGGAUUAAUCUCAAUCUGAAAGUAGCUGCAUUAACUGAAUCCUGCUGGGCGAAGUAUGUGCCGCAUCUAUGUGCGCCUUUCAUGUUUUCCUCUAGGUUAAUUCCAUUGGUGUGCUAGGGUUGUAGCAGUUCCAUACUGUUACAAAAAGAAGCAUUUUUUGUAGAGUUGUCACGAUAAUACCAACAUUGACGGUGGAUAAAUUCAUUGACUGUACCACUCACUCAUUGCUGCUAAGAACAGGAGUUUUGAUUUACAGUUUCAAGCAAAAUUUAUUUGGCAAACUCCCUUCCAUGAGUUAAGGUAUGUUUGUACUUUUGAGAAAUUUUCUCUCUUUUUCAGUAUUAUUAAUAGUUAUUGAAUUUUAAAGUUUUUAAGUAACUGCAGAAUUGUCGAACAUUUCUCGAACACAAUGCUGUUAGUAACUUCUUUUGUUCGAGGAAAACAGUAGGCUUCCUUACUGUAUUCUUGUAUAUGUAAUGCAAAGAAGACGAGAGGCUGUGCAGCCCUGAAGUUGGAGCAGCAGCACCAGGCUAGAUAAAAAGCACUCACAUGUACAGUCCUCUAAUCUGGGAGUAAGGUUUUCUGUUAGCUCUGUGCAGAACUGUUGAUAACUUGACAAUUUUAUAUUGAUCAAUCAUGAACCAUUCAGUUUGCUGACCCUUGUUUCCUGUAGUGACCACUAAAGCAAUGUGUCAAUGUGUUGCUGUAUCUGGGCUCACCGCUGUUGCUGUAAACAGUUCUGAAA